Molecule: ribosomal RNA, 1519 nt
Filed under: Clostridium botulinum
Lineage: Bacteria; Bacillati; Bacillota; Clostridia; Eubacteriales; Clostridiaceae
Description: bacterial SSU rRNA
Rfam family: Bacterial small subunit ribosomal RNA
Source: RNAcentral
UUUAAAUUUAGAGUUUGAUCCUGGCUCAGGACGAACGCUGGCGGCGUGCUUAACACAUGCAAGUCGAGCGAUGAAGCUUCCUUCGGGAAGUGAAUUAGCGGCGGACGGGUGAGUAACACGUGGGUAACCUGCCUCAAAGUGGGGGAUAGCCUUCCGAAAGGAAGAUUAAUACCGCAUAAUAUGAGAGAAUCGCAUGAUUUUCUUAUCAAAGAUUUAUUGCUUUGAGAUGGACCCGCGGCGCAUUAGCUAGUUGGUAAGGUAACGGCUUACCAAGGCAACGAUGCGUAGCCGACCUGAGAGGGUGAUCGGCCACAUUGGAACUGAGACACGGUCCAGACUCCUACGGGAGGCAGCAGUGGGGAAUAUUGCGCAAUGGGGGAAACCCUGACGCAGCAACGCCGCGUGGGUGAUGAAGGUCUUCGGAUUGUAAAGCUCUGUUUUCUAGGACGAUAAUGACGGUACUAGAGGAGGAAGCCACGGCUAACUACGUGCCAGCAGCCGCGGUAAUACGUAGGUGGCGAGCGUUGUCCGGAUUUACUGGGCGUAAAGGGUGCGUAGGCGGAUGUUUAAGUGGGAUGUGAAAUCCCCGGGCUUAACCUGGGGGCUGCAUUCCAAACUGGAUAUAUCUAGAGUGCAGGAGAGGAAAGCGGAAUUCCUAGUGUAGCGGUGAAAUGCGUAGAGAUUAGGAAGAACACCAGUGGCGAAGGCGGCUUUCUGGACUGUAACUGACGCUGAGGCACGAAAGCGUGGGUAGCAAAACAGGAUUAGAUACCCUGGUAGUCCCACGCCGUAAACGAUGGAUACUAGGUGUAGGGGGUAUCAACUCCCCCUGUGCCGCAGUUAACACAAAUAAGUAUCCCGCCUGGGGAGUACGGUCGCAAGAUUAAAACUCAAAGGAAUUGACGGGGGCCCGCACAAGCAGCGGAGCAUGUGGUUUAAUUCGAAGCAACGCGAAGAACCUUACCUGGACUUGACAUCCCUUGCAUAGCCUAGAGAUAGGUGAAGCCCUUCGGGGCAAGGAGACAGGUGGUGCAUGGUUGUCGUCAGCUCGUGUCGUGAGAUGUUAGGUUAAGUCCUGCAACGAGCGCAACCCUUGUUAUUAGUUGCUACCAUUAAGUUGAGCACUCUAAUGAGACUGCCUGGGUAACCAGGAGGAAGGUGGGGAUGACGUCAAAUCAUCAUGCCCCUUAUGUCCAGGGCUACACACGUGCUACAAUGGUAGGUACAAUAAGACGCAAGACCGUGAGGUGGAGCAAAACUUAUAAAACCUAUCUCAGUUCGGAUUGUAGGCUGCAACUCGCCUACAUGAAGCUGGAGUUGCUAGUAAUCGCGAAUCAGAAUGUCGCGGUGAAUACGUUCCCGGGCCUUGUACACACCGCCCGUCACACCAUGAGAGCUGGUAACACCCGAAGUCCGUGAGGUAACCGUAAGGAACCAGCGGCCGAAGGUGGGAUUAGUGAUUGGGGUGAAGUCGUAACAAGGUAGCCGUAGGAGAACCUGCGGCUGGAUCACCUCCUUU